UAAUAGAAAUUAUUCUAGCCCUUUAGUGGUAUCUUAGGCCUGUUCUAGAUUGUGUUGACUAUUUUUGUUAACAUAACUUCUCUAGCCUGGACAGGAUUCAUAUCAUAAUUAUUGUUUGAAUGGUAGAAAUUUAAAUUUUCUAAGAUGUUUUAGCAUCGUAUGGUUGCUUAUAGGAUUUCAAAUCGAUCACCAAUUUGAUCUAAUUGUUAUUAGUGUUGCAAAUUUUUUGCUCUAGUAAUAUCAAUAAGAUUUUUUGUUUUUGUUUCCUUCCUAUUGAAUUUGAUCAAUGGUGUUUAUACUCUAAUUCAGAUUGUGUUUGUGUUUGUAACUGGGUUUGCUUUGUUAUUGCCAAACAAAGCUGGAAGGAAUUUGAAUCUUCUCAUCUAUUGUGCAUUUACUAAAAGGUUCUAAAUUCAUAUUUUUUAGAUAUUUUAGUGGGAUUGACCUUUCUUAAAUAAAAGAGCAUAUUUUCGGCCUUUAGUUUAGGAUUUCAGCAGUUCUAAUGUACAUAUGAAACUACAUUAGUCAGUUCUAAUACUUUUUUGGAACUGAUUCUAUGAUGUGAGGAUUUGAAUAAACAUGCCUUUAACGUACUCAUAAAUAAUCUUUCUGAGAUUGAAUUUCACUUACAGGUGGUGCCAGUAUAUUGGUCGGGAGCAUGCUGCAAAGAAACCUCUACUGUUGUUUGUAUAAUAUCUGUUGUGAAAUUGAGAGUAUAGUUUGGUCCUAUAUUAAUUAACUUCUUUCUGAUUUUCUAUUUUCUGGGUAUAGACUCCACUUGAACGAUUGGAGCCUGGUUUCAGAUAUAGGACUCAGUUCGUAAGCCUCAUGCCCAUAAAGAUACACCUCUUAGCAAGUUUUUUAAUGUAGAAGUUGUUGCUUUGUCUAGCUAUGAAGAGAAGGAAGAGAAAUUUAAAGAGGAGGUAAUUCCAAGAAUUAUAAGUGCUUUAUCAAGUCUUAGAACUUGUAUUGGUCAGUUAUCUGAUUAGAUGUUGGUGAGAGUCUUGGAGGCUGAAUAAACUUUUGUUUAUUUUUUAUCUAGGCUGUUUGGGCUAUUCUUUUUGCACAAUUGGUCUAUUUGGUAGUUGUCCGCUUUUUGAAUUUGUUAUGCUAUUUAAGGAAUCUUUAUUUCUUUCACUUCUGACAUUUUACUUCGGUUUUCUUGUUUGAGGGUGUUAUUUUGAACUCUUCCAAUUUUAAUUAGAUUUGGUCUCCAUUCUUCUGGGGUCUUUUCUCUCUAGUCUUUCUUCUAUUCUUUGAUCAAUAAUUGUAAUUCAUAGAAUUUUCCCCUAUCUAAUUUAAUUUAAAAAACUCAUGUGCCUAUACAAGUUCAUGUAUUCUCUGACCUAUUCUCUCUUGGAAAGCUCAAUACGCAUGCAUCAUGUUUGUCGAAGAAAGUCCUUUUUAUUUUUCCUAGUUGGUGUGUUGUGGGAAUUAGUAUGGCGAGAAUGCGUUUACCUUUUAACUUUAUUAAAGUUAUAAUUUAAUAUAUAUUUGACAUCUAAACUUAGUGUUUGGUGUAUAU
Molecule: long non-coding RNA, 1525 nt
Organism: Humulus lupulus (European hop)
Lineage: Eukaryota; Viridiplantae; Streptophyta; Magnoliopsida; Rosales; Cannabaceae
Exons: 3
Source: RefSeq, a predicted model, not a curated record